GUGUCAGCAGCCGCGGUAAGACAGAGGGUGCAAACGUUGUUCGGAAUUACUGGGCGUAAAGCGCGUGUAGGCGGCUAUGCAAGUCGGAUGUGAAAGCCCUCGGCUCAACCGGGGAAGUGCACCCGAAACUGCAAAGCUAGAGUCUCGGAGAGGAUCGUGGAAUUCUCGGUGUAGAGGUGAAAUUCGUAGAUAUCGAGAGGAACACCGGUGGCGAAGGCGGCGAUCUGGACGAUGACUGACGCUGAGACGCGAAAGCGUGGGGAGCAAACAGGAUUAGAUACCCUGGUAGUCCACGCCGUAAACGAUGGGUGCUAGGUGUCGCGGGCUUUGACCCCUGCGGUGCCGCAGCUAACGCAUUAAGCACCCCGCCUGGGAAGUACGGCCGCAAGGCUAAA
This 395-nucleotide ribosomal RNA is filed under the name uncultured bacterium. Its description in RNAcentral is "bacterial SSU rRNA". It matches the Rfam family "Bacterial small subunit ribosomal RNA", at positions 505 to 898 of the family's 1533-position model. The record is from RNAcentral.